CAGAGAGCACGCUCCACUGAGCCCGCUCUAUUUUUAUUUUUGCUCCAAGAAGUGCAAAAGCGCGCGGUACGCCUAAAGAACGCCAUUUUACGGCUCUGCAUUUAAUUGCUUCAGUCACGUGAUAGACGAGAAAAGUAAAUUUUCAUAGUACUCUCCAACGACAUAUCAAAUUAGAAGAGUGACUCAGUACUUUUCUUAAAUGAGCAACAGGCAUUAGAAUAUUCUUACAAAACUUCCUACGAUUUAAAGCCAUCUUCCUUCCUUCUCGAUCUUUCUCGAAUGGCAGGAGAAAUACUGUUAACUCCAAGCUGCCCUGCAAUUUCUUUUAACGUUUGCGAUAAGUUUCCGUUGAGCAAUCGAAUCAAUUGAGCUUCGAAUUCGUGACUCUGCUUCUAUUUGUGACCUUACCAACAUUUGCAGGCACUCAUAAUGCAUUAUAUUAGAUCAAUCGAUAUCGACUGAUAAGAAUUAAUAAGAAAUGCUGAUGAACCGCUUGAAGUCUUGUUUUUUUUUUAGUAAAAAAGGAAAGUUCUAUUGUAAAUGGAAACAUCAGCUGUGUUCGAAAACGUUUCUUAUUUGUUCUUUGAUUACUACUGUUCUUACUUUUACCUUCAUCCGUUCCCUUUUAAAAUAGACAAAUUAAAAAAAUAAGGAUAUUGUUUACAGCUAUAUUAGCACUGGUUCAGAAAAAAUCAUCUUAAUCAGAAAGUUUGAUGUUUUUAUAUUCGUCUUUUUCAUUGUUAUAUUUACAACUUCUUUAUUAGUCGGACCACUAACGUGCAGCUAAUAUUGUCUUACGUAAAUAGCACCAGAAAACUACUGGAUAAUAACGAUAUGUAAUACACUGCUCAAAAUAAUUAGAGUCGUUCGUUUAAUGAUAUUGUUCAAGUAAUUUAGUAGAAAUAUAAAACCGAUUAUAUAACCGAAUAAAGAUGAGAACUAACUAGUUGCAAUUAUGGGAUUACAAGGAAAAAGUUAAAAAAAAA
Long non-coding RNA from Ooceraea biroi (clonal raider ant), 986 nucleotides. RefSeq lists it as uncharacterized. NCBI's taxonomy places the organism in Eukaryota, Metazoa, Arthropoda, Insecta, Hymenoptera, Formicidae. The record is from RefSeq and is a predicted model, not a curated record.